AGCUUCGAUCACACCGACUGGAAUAUCAUUUAAAUCGAAGUUAAUCCCUUUUUAUUUGCUUAUAUUAUAGACAAUCUUUAUAUUACAUCAGUGGAUCAUGUUGAAGAAUCAUGGGAAGGAAAUGUAUCCAACAGACAACCAAAUAUAGAAAACUGCCUUUAGAGAAUGAGGUCAAUACGUCGUGAUUUGGAUAAACAGAUGGGCGCUGACAAAGCUCCAGGUUUCCUCCUCACGCCGGGAUUUCAGGGCUGGAGCAUCGAGGAGAAGAGAAAAAGCAAAACAGGGCUGACAGAACACAGGUGGGAACAAUCAAGGCAAUUACACAGGCAGACAAGCAGGGGAAGUAAAACAAGACGCAACAACACGCCGAGACCCCCAAAACAACACAGAGGUUAAUAACAAGGCAAAGAAAACAAAAGGAAAGUGGGAAAGUUGACAGAAGAGAACGGUGCAGAUAGAGACAGAAGAAAAUUUGUCAAAAGAAGACGAGCCGCAAUGAAAAAAUGUAAACAUUUUCUGCAUUUUUUCAGAAGCGUGCAAGUUGUCUUCCUGAUUUAUGUGAAAAGUCUCACACUCCUGUAAUAAUUGCAUUUUUUUAAGUUAAAGAAUGAGGCGUAGAUAAAUCAUCUCAUAAAUUUUACUGCCAUCAGUUUGACACACCAUAUUGUCAAGGUUUCUGGGUCACGGCGCCAAUCCCGGGAUCCAGAUGUUCCAUGAAAACAGGUGUAUAAAUCCACCUUAUGCAGAGUGAUGGUGAAGAAAUGCAUCACUCCUGUGAUGUCGGUGAAUUUCACCGAGGUACCAAGAUGAGAUUUCACCGAGUCCAGCUGUAACCAAACAGUCCAGGUGAUUUUUCUGACUGAUAAAGACAGAAUGCUAAAAUUUAAUCAGAAGGUGCGUCACCCUUACAUUGUGGUGUGGGGACUAUUAAUAGUCCUUGGAACCAUUUUGUUUGGGCCUAAAACUGCAGUUAAAAAUGGUCGAAAUGUAAUCGUCCAGCAAAUGGAGCUCAUGAACUUCAGCUUUUCAUCAUUUCAUAUGAUGAGAUAUCUUCUGAAAUAAUUUUUUUUUUAA
Molecule: long non-coding RNA, 1074 nt
Organism: Poecilia latipinna (sailfin molly)
Lineage: Eukaryota; Metazoa; Chordata; Actinopteri; Cyprinodontiformes; Poeciliidae
Exons: 3
Source: RefSeq, a predicted model, not a curated record